This 253-nucleotide ribosomal RNA is filed under the name uncultured bacterium. RNAcentral describes it as "partial 16S ribosomal RNA". It matches the Rfam family "Bacterial small subunit ribosomal RNA", at positions 524 to 776 of the family's 1533-position model. The record is from RNAcentral.
UACGUAGGUGACAAGCGUUGUCCGGAUUUACUGGGCGUAAAGAGCGCGCAGGCGGUCGUUCAAGUCGAGUGUGAAAGCCCCCGGCUCAACUGGGGAGGGUCAUUCGAUACUGAUCGACUCGAAGGCAGGAGAGGGAAGUGGAAUUCCCGGUGUAGUGGUGAAAUGCGUAGAUAUCGGGAGGAACACCAGUGGCGAAGGCGACUUCCUGGCCUGUUCUUGACGUUGAGGCGCGAAAGCUAGGGGAGCAAACGGG